This 82-nucleotide transfer RNA is filed under the name Humidesulfovibrio sp. RNAcentral's name for it is "tRNA-OTHER". Lineage: Bacteria; Pseudomonadati; Thermodesulfobacteriota; Desulfovibrionia; Desulfovibrionales; Desulfovibrionaceae. The record is from RNAcentral.
ACUGUAAUUUUGGCCGCAAAGCAGAGAUUUAAAAACCCUCAACCUUCGGGUCAUGUCGGUUCGAUUCCGACCCUGAGCACCA